AAAGAAUUAGUUUUAAAAUUAAAACAUUAAAUUGUCAAUUUAACAAUAUCUCCUCAAAGAUAUUCUUUU
This 69-nucleotide transfer RNA is filed under the name Polyrhachis dives. Its description in RNAcentral is "tRNA-Asp". The record is from RNAcentral. Lineage: Eukaryota; Metazoa; Arthropoda; Insecta; Hymenoptera; Formicidae.